GACGAACGCUGGCGGCGUGCUUGACACAUGCAAGUCGAACGGAAAGGCCCUGCUUUUGUGGGGUGCUCGAGUGGCGAACGGGUGAGUAACACGUGAGUAACCUGCCCUUGACUUUGGGAUAACUUCAGGAAACUGGGGCUAAUACCGGAUAGGAGCUCCUGCUGCAUGGUGGGGGUUGGAAAGUUUCGGCGGUUGGGGAUGGACUCGCGGCUUAUCAGCUUGUUGGUGGGGUAGUGGCUUACCAAGGCUUUGACGGGUAGCCGGCCUGAGAGGGUGACCGGCCACGUUGGGACUGAGGUACGGCCCAGACUCCUACGGGAGGCAGCAGUGGGGAAUAGUGCACAAUGGGCGGAAGCCUGAUGCAGCAACGCCGCGUGCGGGAUGACGGCCUUCGGGUUGUAAACCGCUUUCGCCUGUGACGAAGCGUGAGUGACGGUAAUGGGUAAAGAAGCACCGGCUAACUACGUG
This 468-nucleotide ribosomal RNA is filed under the name uncultured bacterium. Its description in RNAcentral is "partial 16S ribosomal RNA". It matches the Rfam family "Bacterial small subunit ribosomal RNA", at positions 28 to 507 of the family's 1533-position model. The record is from RNAcentral.